This 858-nucleotide ribosomal RNA is filed under the name uncultured bacterium. RNAcentral describes it as "SSU rRNA". It matches the Rfam family "Bacterial small subunit ribosomal RNA", at positions 524 to 1381 of the family's 1533-position model. The record is from RNAcentral.
UACAGAGGGUGCAAGCGUUAAUCGGAAUUACUGGGCGUAAAGGGUCUGUAGGCGGAUUAUUAAGUCGGAUGUGAAAUCCCCGGGCUCAACCUGGGAACGGCAUUCGAUACUGGUAGUCUAGAGUGUGCAAGAGGAUGGGGGAAUUCCUGGUGUAGCAGUGAAAUGCGUAGAGAUCAGGAGGAACAUCAAUGGCGAAGGCACCUUUCUGGGGCAACACUGACGCUGAGAGACGAAAGCGUGGGGAGCAAACAGGAUUAGAUACCCCGGUAGUCCACGCCCUAAACGAUGUCAACUAACUGUUCGGAGUCACUAAGAUUCUGAGUAGUGAAGCUAACGCGAUAAGUUGACCGCCUGGGGAGUACGGCCGCAAGGUUGAAACUCAAAGAAAUUGACGGGGGCCCGCACAAGCGGUGGAGUAUGUGGUUUAAUUCGAUGCAACGCGAAGAACCUUACCCGGUCUUGACAUGGUAGGAAUCUUGUAGAGAUACGAGAGUGCCUUCGGGAACCUACACACAGGUGCUGCACGGCUGUCGUCAGCUCGUGUCGUGAGAUGUUGGGUUAAGUCCCGCAACGAGCGCAACCCUUGCCCUUAGUUACCAUCAUUUAGUUGGGGACUCUAAGGGGACUGCCGGUGAUAAACCGGAGGAAGGUGGGGACGACGUCAAGUCAUCAUGGCCCUUAUGACCGGGGCUACACACGUACUACAAUGGUCGGUACAGACGGUCGCAAGCUCGCGAGAGUAAGCUAAUCCGAGAAAACCGAUCGUAGUCCGGAUCGCAGUCUGCAACUCGACUGCGUGAAGUCGGAAUCGCUAGUAAUCGCAAAUCAGAAUGUUGCGGUGAAUACGUUCCCGGGCCU